CGAGGGUAACCAAGUCGGCCAAAGGUGCAGGACUUAAGAUCCUGUCUCGAAGGAGUUCAUGGGUUCAAAUCCCAUCCCUCGCA
RNAcentral lists this transfer RNA (83 nucleotides) under Methanosarcinales archaeon. RNAcentral's name for it is "tRNA-Leu". It matches the Rfam family "tRNA". Rfam says of the family: Transfer RNA (tRNA) molecules are approximately 80 nucleotides in length. Their secondary structure includes four short double-helical elements and three loops (D, anti-codon, and T loops). Further hydrogen bonds mediate the characteristic L-shaped molecular structure. tRNAs have two regions of fundamental functional importance: the anti-codon, which is responsible for specific mRNA codon recognition, and the 3' end, to which the tRNAs corresponding amino acid is attached (by aminoacyl-tRNA synthetases). tRNAs cope with the degeneracy of the genetic code in two manners: having more than one tRNA (with a specific anti-codon) for a particular amino acid; and 'wobble' base-pairing, i.e. permitting non-standard base-pairing at the 3rd anti-codon position. The record is from RNAcentral. Lineage: Archaea; Methanobacteriati; Methanobacteriota; Methanomicrobia; Methanosarcinales.